RNAcentral lists this ribosomal RNA (406 nucleotides) under uncultured bacterium. RNAcentral describes it as "partial 16S ribosomal RNA". It matches the Rfam family "Bacterial small subunit ribosomal RNA", at positions 30 to 526 of the family's 1533-position model. The record is from RNAcentral.
AUUGAACGCUGGCGGCAGGCUUAACACAUGCAAGUCGAGCGCGGGGCGGAGGGGUGAGUAAUAUCUGGGACACUGCCUUAUGGAGGGGGAUCACUACGGGACACGGUAGCUUAUACCGCAUACCAUGAGAUCUGCCCAGAUGGGAUUAGAUAGGGGGUGGGGUAAUGGCUCACCUAGGCGACGAUCCCUAGCUGGUCUGAGAGGAUGACCAGCCACACUGGAACUGAGACACGGUCCAGACUCCUACGGGAGGCAGCAGUGGGGAAUAUUGCACAAUGGGCGCAAGCCUGAUACAGCCAUGCCGCGUGUGUGAAGAAGGCCUUCGGGUUGUAAAGCACUUUCAGCGGGGAGGCGUUACUGGCAGAAGAAGCACCGGCUAACUCCGUGCCAGCAGCCGCGGUAAUAC